This 264-nucleotide ribosomal RNA is filed under the name uncultured bacterium. RNAcentral describes it as "partial 16S ribosomal RNA". It matches the Rfam family "Bacterial small subunit ribosomal RNA", at positions 793 to 1055 of the family's 1533-position model. The record is from RNAcentral.
GUCCACGCCCUAAACGAUGCAUACUUGGUGUGAGCGAUUCAUUUCGUUCGUGCCGGAGCUAACGCGUUAAGUAUGCCGCCUGGGGAGUACGGUAGCAAGGCUGAAACUCAAAGGAAUUGACGGGGGCCCCGCACAAGCGGUGGAGCAUGUGGUUCAAUUCGACGCAACGCGAAGAACCUUACCUGGGCUCGAACGGCUUCGGACCGUCCUGGAAACAGGAUUUUCUCGCAAGAGACCGGAGUCGAGGUGCUGCAUAGCUGUCGU